RNAcentral lists this ribosomal RNA (490 nucleotides) under uncultured bacterium. Its description in RNAcentral is "partial 16S ribosomal RNA". It matches the Rfam family "Bacterial small subunit ribosomal RNA", at positions 30 to 507 of the family's 1533-position model. The record is from RNAcentral.
AUUGAACGCUGGCGGCAGGCCUAACACAUGCAAGUCGAACGGUAACAGGAAGAAGCUUGCUUCUUUGCUGACGAGUGGCGGACGGGUGAGUAAUGUCUGGGAAACUGCCUGAUGGAGGGGGAUAAUUACUGGAAACGGUAGCUAAUACCGCAUAACGUCGCAAGACCAAAGAGGGGGACCUUCGGGCCUCUUGCCAUCGGAUGUGCCCAGAUGGGAUUAGCUAGUCGGUGGGGUAACGGCUCACCUAGGCGACGAUCCCUAGCUGGUCUGAGAGGAUGACCAGCCACACUGGAACUGAGACACGGUCCAGACUCCUACGGGAGGCAGCAGUGGGGAAUAUUGCACAAUGGGCGCAAGCCUGAUGCAGCCAUGCCGCGUGUAUGAAGAAGGCCUUCGGGUUGUAAAGUACUUUCAGCGGGGAGGAAGGGAGUAAAGUUAAUACCUUUGCUCAUUGACGUUACCCGCAGAAGAAGCACCGGCUAACUCCGUG